CAGGAGUGGAACCCGAUGUGCUCUUCAGCUGUUGGAGCUCAUCCGCCUCACGGUUUGACAUGUUCUGCAUUCUGAGAUGCUUUUCUGCUCACCACGGUUGUAAAGAGUGAUUAUUUUAUUAUUAUUUGAUUAUCUGACCUAUCUCAUCAAUAAAACUAUGCAACAGCCAAAGUGACUGAGCUCAAAAACUUUCCUUAAUUCUGAUGUUUGAAGCUCUUGACCUGCAUCUGCAUGAUUUAAUGCAUUGUGCUGCUUCCACAUGAUUAGUAGAUUAGAUAAUGACUCCAUGAAUGACCAGAAGUACGGGUGUUCCUAUUAAAGUGGCUGGUUGAAGGGGUUUACUCUUUACCAAAAACGAAGCCCAUCAGCUUUACAUGCUGUUGUAUUAAGAGUUUAACAGCAUCCUGACUCUCAGCCCCCUUCUGCAUUAGCCUGUCAAACAUCUCUAGCACACGGCCAUCAUCGUUAUUGUGAGAAAUUAUGUUUAUUUCCUCUGUUUAAAAGCUAUUUUCUCUCUCCGCUUAUCUCUGACUCUCUCCAGAGCCCUCAUCAGUCACUGUUAUAUAACCUUGGGUGUGUGUGUGUGUGUGUGUGAGAGAGAGAGAGGAGUCUUCAGAGACCCAGGAGCCACGUCUCCACGAUUAAGAUCUUAAUUAAUACCCUGUAUGCACGAAUGAGUGAGAGAGAGAGUGUGUGUGUGUGUGUGUGUGUGUGUGUGUGUGUGUGUAAUUGAAGAAGAGAACACAGAUGCAAAAUCAGAGAUAAUUACACCUCUGGUUCAGAUUUUUAAAAAAUGUUACAACAUUUUUUUGUAACCGUAUCAGUCACUGUGUAUCCUCUCACCAUUUUCAGGUCUGAUCUUGCAGAUGGAUCAGAUAUUCUUUUCAAUUAUUAUCCAUUAAGAUAAAUGGAUAUAUCUGUUUUAUACCCCGGCUCUGUUGAAGUCUCGAUUCUGAUUGGUCUGACAGUAAUUCCGGCUGCAAGGAUUAUAUUAUUGAGCGCUCUCUCUCUCUCUCUCUCUCUCUCUAUGGUCUAUGGUUUCUAUAGUAACAGCUCAUUCAACAGCAGCGACUUGUACGGUAGAUGCCUCACAUAAGCAGAUUUUAUAAGGUGUGUAAUUGUUCAUUGAUAUGGUGAUGUAGUUUUUUCUGUAAGGAGAAAAUGUAGCCUUUUUGGAAGGAGUCUCCAGUGUCAGCGGGUAAAGAGGAAACUUUUCAGGGCCGAGGAGUUGACGCUUUGAGUUCUGAGUUUUCUCUGCAACGUGACAAGCUGCAUUUUUGUCUUAUUAACUUCAAGAAUGGGAAAGAAAGAGAGGGGACAAUGAAAAAGUACAUGUCGUUCUUUAAUAAAUAAAUAAAUAACAUUUAUUAGUGGAGCAUGAUCGGAUGAAACGAAUCAGACUCUUCGGUUCGUUUUGACCUCCCUAACGGACGGUAUGAAUUUUAUGUGAAUCGGAGUAUGAUGAAUUUUUCACCCCCCCAAAAAAUCACAAAGGUUAACUAACCCCUUACCAUUUUUCUAUUUUGGGUGAAAAAUUUGACGUUCUCGGAUCUUCCCCAAAUUCACAGUGUGCGUUAGGGAGAUCGAGACUAACACAUCAGUGCACAUAGUUUUGCUCUAUCAUGCUCCUAAGCUGAGCUAUAGUAUAUUAUAUUCUAGUACAGUACAGUAGGUAAAAUAGUAAUACUAUUGUGUAGUAUAGUACGGUUUAGUAGAUCAAAUAGGUACAGUAGAUAAAAUUGUUGUAGUACAAAAUAGCAGAUAAAACAAGUGUUUCCAUCAAAACUCGUACACUGCAUGUGUGGUUUAACUGAAAUUGAUCAUGAAAAUGUGUAUAUUUGUGCGUCUUAAACCUGUAUAUUUGUGUAAUAUAUUAGAAAUGAGAUGUCAUAAGACGUUGAAGUCAUAAAAUAAAAAUCCAUAAAAGUUUGUACUUAAAAAAAAAAAUAGGUUGCCUAAGUAGACGUGCUGCUAUUAGAAAAUAAUCAGCGGCGAGGUGGUAACAGUAAUCACGUGUCGUGCCGGGCCGCAUCACGUCACCACCAGUGUUGUUUGUCUCCAUAUAAAGGCACACCCGCAAGUGUUUUAUUCCUUAUUGAAGAGACAAGUGUAGUGGUGUCAACUUUUCCUGUUUCGAUAUUACAGUGCUGUGAAUUCGUACUGAAAUGAGUUGAAACUCGUAAUUGAUAAACACAUACAGCUGAGGUCAAGAUCUUUUUUUUUUAUAUAAUUAAUUUUUUAUUAGUACAGCCCUUCAGAAGAUAUUUACAUGUUUCCCAGAAGACACAAUUAUAACAAUUUACACAGAUAACCCUGUUCAAAAGUUGACACCCCCCUGGCUAUCAAUGUAUCGUGUUGCUCUCUUGAGCAUCAGUGAAUGUUUGCACCUUUUGUAAUAGUCGUGUACGAGUCCCUCGGUCGUCCUCAGUGUGAAAAGAUGGAUCUCAAAAUCAUAUAGGCGCUGUCGGAAAGGGGUCAAAUAUGCAGAAAAUGCUGGAAAAGGAAAGAAUGUGCAGAUCCUGGAGGACUUUUUCUUGAAGAACAGUGGGCAGGACAAACAAGGGACUCGUGAACAUCGAUCACAAAACGUGAACACAGUUUUUCUGAUCUCUUUUAUUAUUAUUAUUAACAUUUUCGCAGAUUCUGCAAAGGCGUAUGGAAAUUCAUGGCCUCAACUGUGGAUUAAAAGAGACGUGGAUUAAAAGAGACAUCCAGGGCCAAGUCUCAGAGCAUAUAAGAGAGAAGACGAACUAGAAGUGUCUUCAUUUACAGAGUCGACGACUCUGUGGCCCAGUUUUGCCUCAGCUGAGAGUUAAAAACAACAUGACACACUGAAAGAUGGAGAGGAAAAAAACACACCGUACAUUAAGGGCAUGGGACACACACACACACACACUCUCGCUCUCGUCUAGAGGAAAUGUAGAGCGUCUGAACACGAUGUGACUUAAGGCCAUGUGCACACAAACACUACAAACACACGUGGCAUUUUUCACAUAUUUCAACCACAAGAAGUAGUUCAAAGCAUCAGCUGCAGCAGAGCAGACAUACUAGCGCACACACAUACACACCCACCCACACACACCCACACACACACACACACAGGUUUUCAGAGACAGGAAGAUGAACCCAUUUGCACCAGCUAUGGUGCAUGGUAGAAUCACUGAGACGGAUCUAUUUAUGGCUGAAACGUAAUGUCACUGUACAUCCAACACAGCACACAUAAACUCAACCCUCCUUCUGUCUGUCUGCAUGCCUGCCUGUCUGUCUGUCUGCCUGCAUGCCUGCCUGUCUGUCUGUCUGCCUGCCUGCCUGUCUGUCUGCCUGCCUGUCUGUCUGCCUGCCUGUCUGUCUGCCUGUCUGUCUGUCUGUCUGCCUGGUGCACUGGGACUCUUAGUCACUUCUCUGAGACCAGGCCGAGAUGGGAUUUCGAAAGGGCAUCAAGAGGACACACAUUUCCAGUUCCUUAUUCACUAUUUUAUUUUUUCUUUCUCUUCCUGCUGCAUGAAUGUAUGAGCAUAGUGAGUCAUUAUCAUCAGGAAUCCAUCAACAACAUAAACGCACAUCAGUACUGCUGUCCGUUUUUGGUCAUACUUGAUUUCUGAUUUUAUUUUGUUUGAAGUUGUAGUUGCUUCUUAAAAAUGUAAAAAAAAAAAAAAAAAUUUAGAUAAAAAAGAAGAAGAAAAAAAGUAUGUUAUGUAAGGAAUAACACAUCAUGACCCAUGAUGUUAUACAAAAAUAAUACGUGCACUUCUGAAGCGUCUUAUUCUGCUUAUACCUCAGAGAUUUGCCAACAGUUACUAUAUUUAAUUAAUGAACGAUCGACAUGUGGCGCUUUUUUAACGGUUUAUAGUUAUAUAUACUGUUGUGGAACGUCCACGAGCGGCUGUAAACUGGCUGUUCCCUUCACCGGCAUCUCCUUCUCUCUCAAGAACUUAAUGAGACAAGGAUUUUGCGCUGGUAGUAAUGAAUGCAAAAUCAAGCAACCUCUUUUAUUAAAACGCCUGCAGAUUUUCUGCAGAUUUGGGCCGAGACACGUCACGUGACUUCAUCACGACGAGCAUUCGGCCAAAGCGCUCUUAGAAUUCACGUGCAUCGGACACGAGUACCGCUAAAAAGUUCUCAAUUAGCAACAAACGCCACUGUGAAAGACCGCGCAAGACAAUUUUGUGCGAUUGCAAUUUCGCCAAUUCAAAAAAAGCACAAAAAUAAAACUCAUUCUGGAAAAAUCCGCAGCAAAAUCAAGCAUUUUUGGCCGCAACAAUCACAAAAAAACUCCCUGAACUCCUGUAUGGAGUGCUUAUUUAAAAUCUGUUCAUUAUUAGUCUUGGAUUAUGUGGAGCAUCCGCCAUACAAGUCCCUGUGUAUGAGCUGUUAGGAUUGAAACAAUAACCGAAUAGAUAGAGUGCUCUUAGUAUACAAAAGUAAUGCACACCUUCUGACCACUCAGAUUCAAGAAUAUAAUCGCACUGUAGCGUAAUCAUAUAUUAUAUUACAUUCAUAACAGUUGGCAAGAAAUUUCCAAAUACGUAAUGCAUUAAAUGAACUAAUUUACUAGGAAACAAGUCCACAAUGAGAAAUGACGAAUAUAUACUAAACUAAUACCUUAAAGGGGCCAUCAGUGACUUUUAAGUCUGACAUAUCCUGCAUCAGCAUGCAGGUCUUCUAGCCUAGGAAGGGGCAUGCAUGCUGAAUUUUGAGUUACAUAAUACAUCUACCACACUGUUGUGUCUUUAAGAUUCCCCUCUGACUUCUCAAACCGCAUAAAACCUACAUAAGCCAAACAACAGGAGGAAGGAACAACUGGGAGAAUCGAGUACACGAAUGUAUCAAAUCGAAAGUUGUAAAUUACUUGGGCUUUUACGGAACAGGAAGUGAGAAGCAGUGUUGAGUUUGAACAUUGAAUUCAUUUCUGGGCCAGAAAACUUGAAAUGAAGAAACUAGCCAGUUUAACAAGUCGCACCUUUAACAUUAUUAUUGAUGGUAUAUUCAAAUACGUACGGUUUGUUACCGAUAACUAUUGCUGUAAAUAAUGAUAAUGUUAUUAAUAGGAACUUUAAUGGGAAAUAGGCCGGAAAAAGCUUAAUUGAAGAACAAAAAAAAAAGAGAGAGAGAGAAAUCAUGGAUGCGACGCUCUAAUUGCAAUAAUUACAGUUUUCACUCUUAAUGUUUCCGCACGUAAACAUCGCCGUGCACUUUUCUAUUAAAUCACAAAAGUGCUAGAUCUAUGUGAGUGAGCAAGAAAUGGAAGUGGGGAAAAGUGUGUGUGUGUGUGUGUGUGUGUGUGUGUGUGUGUGUGUCUGCGGUGUGCAUAUAUACGUGUGCAUGUCCUCGUCUCCCUGCAGUGAAUCUGGCGGCUCCAUUAGCCUUUAGUGCUGCAGCUAUUCAUGCCUGCUGAUGACAUCACUGUAACUAACCCAUAACUGAAUCAUACACACACACACACACACACACACACACACACACACACGUGCACAAUCCAAUUCUGAUUACUCUAAAAACUCCACAGAUUUGCUCAAGAUGAUCUGACACUCUCCUUUCAGCCAAAGUGCUGGUUUUGACCGUGUUUGUGGUCUGCAAUGCAAUAAUCUUUGAAAUAAUAUUUCCAGCAGGAAAACUGAGGUUGAGAUGAGAGCACUAGCCAAAAUAUUAAUA
Long non-coding RNA from Ictalurus punctatus (channel catfish), 5652 nucleotides. The record is from Ensembl. NCBI's taxonomy places the organism in Eukaryota, Metazoa, Chordata, Actinopteri, Siluriformes, Ictaluridae.